CAGAAACCUAGGAAAACGAAACUGCCAGUGGGGGACCACUGUAUUCCUGUUAUCAUACCCGUUUUGCACAGGGAGAAACCGAGGCUCCCAGAGGUUAAAAACCUGCCCAAGAUCACACAGGUAAGCAAGUGGCUGAGUCAGGGCUCCGACGCGGGCCCUGAAGCCCCAUCUCAGCUGCUGUGGAUAUUGCCUGCUGCAAGCUCACUGUGUCAGCACCCACCAAAGAUAUACGCCGUGGAAGGGCCCAGUGAGAAAGCAGUGACCAUGUUUUGGAUUUCUCUCCAGUUCAAAUUGACCUGGACAUCUUAUAUUUUAUCUGCUCUGUCUCUGGCCACGCUGCUGGGCAGGCUUGACCACACACAUCUGCGGAACUCUGGGUCUCCGCCGUACGAGUGGCAUAGACGCCAUCCUCAAUGCAGAUCCCCAUCAAACCUGGAAAAAAUAAAAUAAGGCCUCCCAGGCUCAGGCCAGCCCCUGUCGCGCCCCAGAGGUGGGCCUGCCCCUCUCCAGACCUCCAGGCUCUUCCUGCCUCCCUCAUGCCUCUGGUGGGCCUGGUGAGUGUGGCUGUUCUCUUUUGUCUGAGUACUCAUUGCCUGGAUUUUAUUACUUGAAUAAAUAUCAAAACAAAGAAGAAAAUCCUUCAACCAGCUCUGUCUUCAUUUUCCAC
Molecule: long non-coding RNA, 667 nt
Organism: Pan paniscus (pygmy chimpanzee)
Lineage: Eukaryota; Metazoa; Chordata; Mammalia; Primates; Hominidae
Source: Ensembl